GCCGUGGUUACAAUUAAUCCACCAUCGUGGCAUUAAUUCGAUUAAUUUAUUUCAAGGUUGACCGACAGCAAAGUGGCGACGCCGUGCCGGAGUUGAGCAUGCGGCCGUGAAGAUGUAAUUGCCUCCACCACUUCAUUAUAUAUUUCUUCCACAGACUCGAUCUUUAUCUCGCACGAUCUUCAUUCUGAGACCAUUACAAUUGUUCAUCUUUCCUUUUGCUCCUUUCCACACGUGCUUGGUGCAAUAUCCAUUCUCUCACCUACACCUUCAACAACCCGCUAUUUUAUUCAUAAUAGAAGAGGCAACAGCGUAAUUCGAGAAGGUACAACGCAGGAACGUCCAUGAACGUGGUGCAACAUAACAGAAGUUGCGGUUAAGUUUUUUUAUUUAAUUAAAACAAUUUACGUGAUGUGAUAAAAUAGCUAAAAAAAUGUGAUUGAUUUUUCUCUGUAAAACAGUUUUCCACUUAAACAAAACAAU
Molecule: long non-coding RNA, 480 nt
Filed under: Glycine max (soybean)
Lineage: Eukaryota; Viridiplantae; Streptophyta; Magnoliopsida; Fabales; Fabaceae
Description: long non-coding RNA (GMAX_LNC001237)
Source: RNAcentral